This 2735-nucleotide long non-coding RNA is filed under the name Fragaria vesca (wild strawberry). RNAcentral's name for it is "long non-coding RNA (FVES_LNC005621)". Lineage: Eukaryota; Viridiplantae; Streptophyta; Magnoliopsida; Rosales; Rosaceae. The record is from RNAcentral.
AAUUUGCAUUAUUUGUCAUUAGUACAAUUACCUUUCAUGUCACUAUUAUAUUUUACAAAUCAAAUAAAGUAAUCAAUAAAGCACUAUUUGUUAAUUUGUGCUAAGUUAGAAUACAUUACUUGUUAUAAUAUCAGUUUAAAGCUCUAUUCUCCAUGUAUUCUAUAAUUUCAUCAAUCAAGGCUUAAUUAAGGGCAUCGACACUGACCAUUUAUACAAAAAAGUAGUAAUAGAUGGAAAUUGAAGUGAGAAAUUUGAACACGGUGUUAUUUUUCAUCCAAAUAUAUGAGAGUUUAUUCUUUUCCUCUCGAUUAGGAGAUUUUUUUUCCAUCCGAUUAAGAGACACUUUUCAUUGGUCGAUGGCAAGUUAGCAACUUCUGCACACCCAAAAAAAAAAACUAGUAGCAUGAAUGAAGGGAAGGAGAAGGGAAUAGUAAAGAUAACGCAUCUGAAAAUUUGAUAGAGGAGAAUCUCCAUAGGGUGGGAACAAGACCCUGUGACCAAUCUAUCAUUGCAUCCACAUGUCUUCCAUUUAAUUAUUCUAAAACAAAAAUCAUUCUUUUUUAUUUUAUUUUCUCUUUUCUUGUCUGAAAUUUUUGUUUAAUCCCUUUCUUCCGGCGGACAGUUAUGUUCCUUCUGGUUGUAGUUUCUACCGGAGACAAUGCAUCUAUCAGUCUCGAUGUACGGCUUUGCAGGGACUCCGCUCAAAUCUUAUCCGACUCAUGGUCAGUUCUUAUAAUUUCAUUUGUGAGCGAAACAUUAUAAUACGAUGGAUCUAUUUAUUUGAAAACUAAAAAAGUUUGACGAAACUCACAUCUUUACAAAAUUUUUGUUAGCACCACCAAAGUUGCAUGUUAUACAUUCUCGUAGCUUUUUUAAGGAUUUAAGAACGUCUAUUGUGAUGAUAUGUAAAGCCGAAAACUGAUUUCACAUAUUCCUACUAAUUUACAUGAAACAAUGCAUGUCGUUGUUAUAUUGCAAUAUUACACCGUCAACAUCCUAUAUUUACUCAAAAUUCAACGAAAAAUGAGGAUAUAUCAGUGACUUGUAUAUAAUAUAGCUCAAUAUUUCAGUACAAGAACACAUAAAAGUAUACAAUAAUGGGAAAAUGCCCAUUUAGUACUAAUUCAAACCCUUCAUUUCCCAUUCCAAUGAUAAUCUUUUGCAUUAGCCCAUUUCAAUAUAAGGUAACAUUUUUUAUGCUCAAAUGCACAAAUCUUUAUGCUCAAAUGCACAAAUCUUUGCUAAAGUCUUAACAAACCAUAUUAUUUUAAGACUAUUUUACUCUCACCCCUUAAACAUGCAUAGAGAGAGAGAAGUGGAAGAGAGAGAAUAAUUGGCCAGAACCUCACCGGAGUCCAGUCACCGGCCGCCGGACUCUGGUCACCGGUCGUCUGACUCCGGUCAACGGUCGUCGGAUUCCGGUCAACGGUCGUCGGAUUCCGGUCACAGGUAACUCGGUUACUAACCCCCAGUAACUCAAUAACUGACCCCCAAUAACUUGGUUACUGACCCCCAAUAAUCGGGUACUGACCCCAAUAACUUGAUUACUGACCCCCAAUAAUCAGUUACUGACCCUCAAUAAUCAUACUGACCCCCAAUAAUCGGAUACUGACCCCCAAUAAUCGGAUACUGAUCUCAAUAACUUGGUUACUGACCCCCAAUAAUCAGUUAUUGACCUCCAGUAACUCAAAUUUUCUCCGGUCGUCGGAUUUCCGUCACUGGUAACUCAGUUACUGACCCCCAAUAACUUGGUUGCUGAUCCCAAUAAUCCCCUAAUAAUCAGUUACUGACCCCCAAUAAUUAGAAACUGACCCCUAAUAAUUAGUUACUGACCUCUAAUAAUUUGGUUACUGACCCCCAAUAAUCAGUUACUGACCUCCAAUAAUCAGUUACCGACCCCUAAUAAUCGAGUUAUUGACAAAAGAGAGAGAUAGAGAGUGUGUGUUUUCCAGAUCGGAGGAGAGAGGUCGGAGGAGAUCUCUGGCGCCGUUAAUUUGGUCACCGUGAAACUGUACUACGUGUAUAUGUCCAGAAACCUACGUAGGAAAUUCAAUCCAUGCUAAUUCAAGUCCGAUUUCACAUGGAUUUCUCAUCAACCAAACGAAAUCAACAGUCUGAAACCUCCUAGCUCUAAGCCUCUAACCACCACCACCACAACAACAACAAAAAUUCAAAAAGGCAAACGAGAAGGUUCUAGAGGCUAGGAGUGACCUGGCUCUUUCCGCUGCAGCAAACGGUGAAGAUGACGUCAGAGCUGGAGUGGUCGUAGAUGAGAUGAAGCAUGGCGGCGGAGGGAGAAACGUCGGUGAGAGAGAGAAGGAGAGCCCUGGCGGCGAUAAGCGGGGCUGUAAGUCAGCGAUCUAACAGAGUGAGAGGUCUGAAGAGCGGACCUGACCUUGAGGCCAGUGAAGUGAGGCAAUCCGAGGCGGCCGGUGCGGGAAGAAACGGAGGAGGCGGCGAUUGGGGAGAGAGUGGCUGAAGGCAGAGCGGAGGAGCGAGGAACGAUGAUGGAUUCAAGGAUGGUAGCCAUUGCCAUAGGAGAUCGGAGCUCUAGAGAAAUAGGAGGGCGGCGAUGAUGGUGAGAGAGAGAGAGAGAGAGAGAGAGAGAGAGAGAGAGAGAGAGAGAGAGAGAGAGAGAGAGAGAGAGAGAGAGAGAGAGAGAGAGAGAGAGAGAGAGAGAGAGAGAGAGAGAGAGAGAGAGAGAGAGAGAGAGAGAGAGAGAGAGAGAGAGAGAG